GUAGGAAUUCCUUUUAUUAUCCCAGUUGUUAUUUCUACCUUGCUCUGCUGUAUAAGAUACUCCAUAUAGGAGGUCAAGCUUGAAAAAUGUAUAAUACCCGACUUGUCGAGACUCAUGUUAAUAAAGUUGUCAUGAUAUUUUCCCUGCUUCAAAGUGCUCCCUGAGGUAUUAGUUAACGGUAGUCUGUAUUGAUUUUUUUUGUACAGAAUUUGACCAUUUGUGCAGUCUUUGGUUCGUGAUGGAUCGACCUUAUAAAGUCUUAAUGAUUACCCUUUCCAACAAGCAACAGUGGGGUUGUUCUGCUCAAUCCUGCUAUUUUUUAGUCCAUUAAUUUGCUACUGAAUAUAUACAGUUCUUGCAAGAGAACGAACAUAAGUGUAUUUGGGUGAGGCACCAGAUACAACAUCUCACUUUUCGUUUUGGAAGUUAUUUUUAUUUAACUCCAAGAGGUCACCAGCUGAAGGUAUGGUACAUUCUGAUCUUUUUGUUUGUCACUAAGCUUGACAACAUCUCACCAACUAUAGCAGUAAUGUGAUUCAUUCUUUAGGUUGUGUUUGGCAAUGAAAUAGUAAUUUGGCUGCUGAGGUAUCAAGGCGGAAAAAGUUUAAUUCACCCCGAGAAGAGCCCUCCGAGAACAAUUGUUUUGGACUUUUGUGGUACUCUCAAGUGAGGGGGCUUUUGUGGUCUUGCUAAUAUAGAUAAACCAUAACCAUAUUUUAUAUGAUUCUCAACAUCCUUGGAGCGAAAGACAGUAACUGCAUAAUGAAGUUUAAAUCAUAU
Triticum urartu is the source of this 780-nucleotide non-coding RNA. Lineage: Eukaryota; Viridiplantae; Streptophyta; Magnoliopsida; Poales; Poaceae. The record is from RefSeq and is a predicted model, not a curated record.